Long non-coding RNA from Thalassophryne amazonica, 220 nucleotides. RefSeq lists it as uncharacterized. The record is from RefSeq and is a predicted model, not a curated record. NCBI's taxonomy places the organism in Eukaryota, Metazoa, Chordata, Actinopteri, Batrachoidiformes, Batrachoididae. The transcript is spliced from 3 exons.
UCUUCGCACCCUGUCAUAAGCUUUCUCUAAAUCCACAAACACACAAUGUAACUCCUUCUGGCCUUCUCUAUACUUCUCCAUCAGUAUUCUCAGAGCAAACAUUGCAUCCGUAGUGCUCUUUCCCAGUAUGAAACCAUAUUUCUGCUCACAGAUCACAGUUUUAUAAGCCUAGCUUUUACUACUCUUUCCCAUAACUUCAUAUAACGACGUGAUGCCUCUG